Molecule: ribosomal RNA, 253 nt
Filed under: uncultured bacterium
Lineage: Bacteria
Description: partial 16S ribosomal RNA
Rfam family: Bacterial small subunit ribosomal RNA
Source: RNAcentral
UACGUAGGCAGCGAGCGUUGUUCGGAGUUACUGGGCGUAAAGAGUGCGUAGGCGGUUUUCUAAGUCUGAUGUGAAAGCCCACGGCUCAACCGUGGAGGGUCAUUGGAAACUGGGGAACUUGAGUGCAGGAGAGAAGAGUGGAAUUCCACGUGUAGCGGUGAAAUGCGUAGAGAUGUGGAGGAACACCAGUGGCGAAGGCGACUCUUUGGCCUGUAACUGACACUGAGGCGCGAAAGCGUGGGGAGCAAACAGG